GACGAACGCUGGCGGCGUGCUUAACACAUGCAAGUCGAACGGGUCUGCCCUGUUUUUUGCGGGGUGGGUCAGUGGCGAACGGGUGAGUAACACGUGAGUAACCUGCCCCUCACUUCUGGAUAACCGCUUGAAAGGGUGGCUAAUACGGGGUGUUCUGGCUGUGCCGCAUGGUGUGGCUGGGAAAGAUUCACUUUUGUGGUGUUUUGGUGGGGGAUGGGCUCGCGGCCUAUCAGCUUGUUGGGGGGGUGAUGGCCUGCCAAGGCUUUGACGGGUAGCCGGCCUGGGAGGGUGGGCGGUCACACUGGGACUGAGAUACGGCCCAGACUCCUGCGGGAGGCAGCAGUGGGGGGUAUUGCACAAUGGGCGGAAGCCUGAUGCAGCGACGUCGCGGGAGGGAUGGAGGCCUUCGGGUUGUGAACCUCUUUCGCCGGUGAAGAAGGUCCUGCUCUUUGUGGUGGGGUUGACGGUAGCCGGGUUAUGAAGCGCCGGCUAACUACGUG
RNAcentral lists this ribosomal RNA (500 nucleotides) under uncultured bacterium. RNAcentral's name for it is "partial 16S ribosomal RNA". It matches the Rfam family "Bacterial small subunit ribosomal RNA", at positions 28 to 507 of the family's 1533-position model. The record is from RNAcentral.